UACGUAGGAUCCGAGCGUCGUCCGGAUUUACUGGGUGUAAAGGGUGCGCAGGCGGACUGGUAAGUCAGUGGUGAAAUCUCGUCGCUUAACGACGAAACUGCCUUUGAUACUAUCAGUCUUGAAUCCGGUAGAGAUCUGUGGAAUUCCGAGUGUAGCAGUGAAAUGUGUAGAUAUUCGGAAGAACACCAGUGGCGAAGGCAGCAGAUUGGGCCGGUAUUGACGCUCAGGCACGAAAGCAUGGGGAUCAAACAGG
This 253-nucleotide ribosomal RNA is filed under the name uncultured bacterium. Its description in RNAcentral is "partial 16S ribosomal RNA". It matches the Rfam family "Bacterial small subunit ribosomal RNA", at positions 524 to 776 of the family's 1533-position model. The record is from RNAcentral.